RNAcentral lists this ribosomal RNA (253 nucleotides) under uncultured bacterium. RNAcentral describes it as "partial 16S ribosomal RNA". It matches the Rfam family "Bacterial small subunit ribosomal RNA", at positions 524 to 776 of the family's 1533-position model. The record is from RNAcentral.
UACGAAGGGGGCUAGCGUUGUUCGGAAUUACUGGGCGUAAAGCGUGUGUAGGUGGUUGUCCAAGUUGGAUGUGAAAGCCUUGAGCUCAACUCAAGAAAUGCAUUCAGGACUGGCCGGCUAGAGGACCGGAGAGGAUAGUGGAAUUCCCAGUGUAGUGGUGAAAUACGUAGAGAUUGGGAAGAACACCAGUGGCGAAGGCGGCUAUCUGGACGGUUUCUAACACUAAGACUCGAAAGCGUGGGGAGCAAACAGG